Molecule: ribosomal RNA, 529 nt
Filed under: uncultured bacterium
Lineage: Bacteria
Description: bacterial SSU rRNA
Rfam family: Bacterial small subunit ribosomal RNA
Source: RNAcentral
AGAGUUUGAUCCUGGCUCAGAUUGAACGCUGGCGGCAGGCCUAACACAUGCAAGUCGAACGGUAGCACAGAGGAGCUUGCUUCUCUGCUGACGAGCGGCGGACGGGUGAGUAAUGUAUGGGGAUCUGCCUGAUGGAGGGGGAUAACUACUGGAAACGGUAGCUAAUACCGCAUAAUGUCCACGGACCAAAGCGGGGGACCUUCGGGCCUCGCACCAUCAGAUGAACCCAUAUGGGAUUAGCUAGUAGGUAAGGUAACGGCUUACCUAGGCGACGAUCCCUAGCUGGUCUGAGAGGAUGAUCAGCCACACUGGGACUGAGACACGGCCCAGACUCCUACGGGAGGCAGCAGUGGGGAAUAUUGCACAAUGGGCGCAAGCCUGAUGCAGCCAUGCCGCGUGUAUGAAGAAGGCCUUCGGGUUGUAAAGUACUUUCAGCGAGGAGGAAGGCAUUAAGGUUAAUAACCUUAGUGAUUGACGUUACUCGCAGAAGAAGCACCGGCUAACUCCGUGCCAGCCGCCGCGGUAAUUC